This is a long non-coding RNA of Oryza sativa Japonica Group (Japanese rice), 1499 nucleotides long. RefSeq lists it as uncharacterized. The record is from RefSeq and is a predicted model, not a curated record. Lineage: Eukaryota; Viridiplantae; Streptophyta; Magnoliopsida; Poales; Poaceae.
CUUGUGCGUGUGAGCUGCGACUGCGAGCUUGUGGUCGUCGACGUUGUCAAUGCAGUGGUGUGCUCUCUCGGAUCUUGCUGCCAUGGAAGUUGGGCCUGUAUGCGGAUUACUGGGCUGGCCCUAGGCCCACUCGGCUCGGCUGCAGCGCAUACACCAAGGGGGGGAUCGAUCAAGAACAGAACACUCGUCUCCCUCCUCCUUCAUCCUUGGGGUGUGCUGUGUUGUGAGCUGUGCGUGUGAGUUGCGGUUGUCGUGGAUGCGGUCGUGUUUGGUGUUGUCAGGUGAGAGCAGUUGGGGAUUGGAUUUUGUGGCGACCGCGCGUUGGCUCUGCGGCGUGCAAAGAUGCCACCACGGCGGUUUUCCUCUCUUCUGUUUCUUGGUUUAUUGCGUCGAUCUCUUCCUUGAUCGUGCUCCUGCUCUUGCCGCCGGCCAAUUAUCUGUCGCCGCAUUCUGCUCCUCUCUGCCCAUGCACCAUCUUGCCAUCUAGGGAUGCGUCCUCAUCUCCAUUGAGUUUGGGUGCACGGGAGGUGUUUGCUGUAUUGCCUAAGCGAGUAUACUGUGCUUAUUCAUUCAUUUGACACUGUUUUGGGACCUAUGAAUGAACGGCCUUCCAGUGUCGUAGUGGGGCUCGACUCAGUGUGCGGCGAUUACGGUGAAGUCAGGCCGCAGCGCUAGGUUUGUCUGCCCUUGGCAGUCGUUCACACAAAGCGAGGGGCGCCAAUUACGGUGGUGCUGGCUUUGCAAUAGCGCUACUAAGGCGAAAAGCUAAAGGGAGCGCAGAGGGAUCAGCUGUCGAAGCAUCUCAGAGGGAUCUCUGGUUGCAGCGGUAGCGUGCUCGGUGCCGUCCAGACUCAACGUGGUGUGGCAAAGAGGUUUGCUCAAACUGACACUGUGGCGCACAGCAAGACGGGCACUGGAUCAGCACUAGAGCAGAUACUUGUAGUUUCAUGCUGGUUUUACCAUCAAUGGUGCCACUAUUCCUCCAUCGAAAUGAAGGUAAGCAUGGGUUGCAUAGAUUAUGCAGUGAAUUUGAAUCCACCUUGCUUUUCUAGUUUUCUUUUUUGCUGUCAUAGCUGGAGAUGAACAAGGUGAUGCGCCAGUGGAAGUAACCCAUGGAGAUGAACAAGGAGAGGGAGGAAUUGCUAAUUCUUCUGGUUCCAUUGUUCUUGAACACGAAGGUGCAACUGAUCAAGAUGAGGCUAGAGGUAUUGUCUGAUUGCUACAGUGGUUACAGAUUUUGUGCAGAAGUUAAGCUGAAACUCUAGUUCAAAAUGAGUACUGCAGUAUUGUUAGUUCAAGUUCUCAACUUUUGGAGUUAUGGAUAUAUUAGUAUAAUUUGGUUUUUCUCUAUUUGAUUUUACUGUUCUAGGAAGUUGUCACCGUUUGUUUCCAAUAAACUGUCCCUACUUCAGAGUAGCAGUCAUGCUACCUAUCUUGUUUAUCUUGGUUUACAGAGGCAGGCAAGCUGGCAAUUUAUAGUACCAGUCCAUGAAUGGUCA